RNAcentral lists this unclassified non-coding RNA (402 nucleotides) under soil metagenome. RNAcentral's name for it is "partial contains 5.8S ribosomal RNA, internal transcribed spacer 2, and large subunit ribosomal RNA". The stretch from base 1 to 121 matches the Rfam family "5.8S ribosomal RNA", at positions 35 to 154 of the family's 154-position model. The record is from RNAcentral.
GAUGAAGAACGUAGCGAAAUGCGAUAAGUAAUGUGAAUUGCAGAAUUCAGUGAAUCAUCGAAUCUUUGAACGCACCUUGCGCCCUUUGGCUAUUCCGAAGGGCAUGCCUGUUUGAGUAUCAUGAACACCUCAACUCUCAUGGUUUGCCAUGAUGAGCUUGGACUCUGGGGGUCUUGCUGGCCUAUGGUCGGCUCCUCUCAAAUAAAUCAGCUUGCCAGUGUUUGGUGGCAUCACAGGUGUGAUAACUAUCUACGCUUGUGGUUUUCCAUCAGGUAACCUUCAGUGAUGGAGGUUCGCUGGAGCUCAUAAAUGUCCCUCCUCAGCGAGGACAGCUUUUUGAACGUUUGAUCUCAAAUCAGGUAGGACUACCCGCUGAACUUAAGCAUAUCAAUAAGCGGAGGA